RNAcentral lists this ribosomal RNA (465 nucleotides) under uncultured bacterium. Its description in RNAcentral is "partial 16S ribosomal RNA". It matches the Rfam family "Bacterial small subunit ribosomal RNA", at positions 28 to 507 of the family's 1533-position model. The record is from RNAcentral.
GACGAACGCUGGCGGCGUGCUUAACACAUGCAAGUCGAACGGAAAGGCCCUGCUUGCAGGGUACUCGAGUGGCGAACGGGUGAGUAACACGUGGGUGAUCUGCCCUGCACUUCGGGAUAAGCCUGGGCAACUGGGUCUAAUACCGGAUAGGAGCCAUUUUUAGUGUGAUGGUUGGAAAGUUUUUUCGGUGUAGGAUGAGCUCGCGGCCUAUCAGCUUGUUGGUGGGGUAAUGGCCUACCAAGGCGGCGACGGGUAGCCGGCCUGCGAGGGUGGACGGCCACAUUGGGACUGAGGUACGGCCCAGACUGCUACGGGAGGCAGCAGUGGGGAAUAUUGCACAAGGGGCGCAAGCCUGAUGCAGCGACGCCGCGUGGGGGAUGACGGCCUUCGGGUUGUAAAAUCCUUUCGCUAGGGACGAAGCUUUUUGUGACGGUACCUAGAUAAGAAGCACCGGCUAACUACGUG